GCCCCCAUAGUUCAACGGAUAGAACAAGGGACUCCUAAGCCCUAGAUGGCUGUUCAAUUCUGCCUGGGGGCA
This 72-nucleotide transfer RNA is filed under the name Candidatus Komeilibacteria bacterium RIFCSPLOWO2_02_FULL_48_11. RNAcentral describes it as "tRNA-Arg". It matches the Rfam family "tRNA". Rfam says of the family: Transfer RNA (tRNA) molecules are approximately 80 nucleotides in length. Lineage: Bacteria; Candidatus Komeiliibacteriota. The record is from RNAcentral.